GACGAACGCUGGCGGCGUGCCUAAUACAUGCAAGUCGAACGCAUUUUCUUUCACUGUAGCUUGCUACACCGACAGAAAAUGAGUUGCGAACGGGUGAGUAACACGUUGGUAACCUGUCCAUCAGCGGGGGAUAACACUUGGAAACAGGUGCUAAUACCGCGUAAUUCCAUUUACUGCAUGGUAGAUGGGUGAAAGGCGCCUUUGCGCCACUGAUGGAUGUAGCCGCGGUGCAGUAGAUCGAUGGGGGGGUAAGGGCCUAGCAAGGCUGCGAUGCAUAACCGGCCCUGGAAGGUUAUCCGCCCACCAGGGACUGGGACAACGCCCAGACUCCUAACGGAGGCAGCAGGAGGGGAACUUCGGCAAUAGACGCAAGGCUGACCGCAGAACGCCGCGGUAGUGAAGAAGGUUUUCGGAUCGUAAAACUCUGUUGUUAGAGAAGAAAAAGGAUGAGGGUGGAAAGUUCAUCCCUUGACGGUAUCUAACCAGAAAGCCACGGCUAACUACGUG
Molecule: ribosomal RNA, 507 nt
Filed under: uncultured bacterium
Lineage: Bacteria
Description: partial 16S ribosomal RNA
Rfam family: Bacterial small subunit ribosomal RNA
Source: RNAcentral